RNAcentral lists this ribosomal RNA (524 nucleotides) under uncultured bacterium. RNAcentral describes it as "partial 16S ribosomal RNA". It matches the Rfam family "Bacterial small subunit ribosomal RNA", at positions 28 to 523 of the family's 1533-position model. The record is from RNAcentral.
GACGAACGCUGGCGGCGUGCCUAAUACAUGCAAGUCGAACGAAGCUGUUUUAACUGGUGCUUGCACCGACUUAAACAACUGAGUGGCGAACGGGUGAGUAACACAUGGGUAACCUGCCCCAAAGCGGGGGAUAACAUUUGGAAACAGAUGCUAAUACCGCAUAAUCACAGAAACCACAUGGUUUCUGUGUCAAAGAUGGUUUCGGCUAUCACUUUGGGAUGGACCCGCGGCGUAUUAGCUAGUUGGUAAGGUAAUGGCUUACCAAGGCAAUGAUACGUAGCCGAACUGAGAGGUUGAUCGGCCACAUUGGGACUGAGACACGGCCCAAACGCCUACGGGAGGCAGCAGUAGGGAAUCUUCCACAAUGGACGAAAGUCUGAUGGAGCGACGCCGCGUGAGUGAAGAAGGUUUUCGGAUCGUAACACUCUGUUGUCAGAGAAGAACGUGUGCGAGAGUAACUGUUCGUGCAGUGACGGUAUCUGGCCAGAAAGCCACGGCUAACUACGUGCCAGCAGCCGCAGUAA